GACGAACGCUGGCGGCGUGCUUAACACAUGCAAGUCGAACGGAGCGAAUGAAAGCUUGCUUUUAUGAGCUUAGUGGCAAACGGGUGAGUAACACGUAGACAACCUGCCGACAGGAUGGGGACAACAUUCCGAAAGGAAUGCUAAUACCGAAUGAAGCGGAGGAGAGGCAUCCCUCCUCCGUGAAAGAUGGCCUCUAUUUAUAAGCUAUCACCUGUCGAUGGGUCUGCGUCUGAUUAGCUAGUUGGUGAGGUAACGGCUCACCAAGGCGACGAUCAGUAGCCGGUCUGAGAGGAUGAACGGCCACAUUGGGACUGAGACACGGCCCAGACUCCUACGGGAGGCAGCAGUGGGGAAUCUUCCGCAAUGGGCGCAAGCCUGACGGAGCAACGCCGCGUGAGUGAAGAAGGUCUUCGGAUCGUAAAGCUCUGUUGAUGGGGACGAACGUGCGAAGGGGAAUA
RNAcentral lists this ribosomal RNA (458 nucleotides) under Centipeda infelix. RNAcentral describes it as "bacterial SSU rRNA". It matches the Rfam family "Bacterial small subunit ribosomal RNA", at positions 28 to 463 of the family's 1533-position model. Lineage: Bacteria; Bacillati; Bacillota; Negativicutes; Selenomonadales; Selenomonadaceae. The record is from RNAcentral.